UUCUUCUUAAAAUUAGUCUCAGUUACUUACAAGUGGAUCCUACAUGCAAACUCAUGUGAUAAUUGACAUUUGAUUAUAAGAAGCCAAAACAUAUUGGAAAUAGGAUCACCCUUUCUUUCAUACUAAUAAGUGUCCCUUACUCCAGCAGC
Molecule: long non-coding RNA, 149 nt
Organism: Hibiscus syriacus
Lineage: Eukaryota; Viridiplantae; Streptophyta; Magnoliopsida; Malvales; Malvaceae
Exons: 3
Source: RefSeq, a predicted model, not a curated record